GUUUAAUCCACUGUGCAAUAUUGUUUAGUAUAAUACACUGUUUAAUCCACUGUGCAAUUUAGUAUUUGGAUUGGAUAUAUGAAAACAUAAAGGAAGGAGAGUGUACAGGGGAUGACCUGGAUAAAACUGCAGCGGAAGAGGAAGAAGAACCAGUUUACUCAGAAGAAGAAAAAUAAAAAUAUUUGAAAUUUAAAAAUUUUAUUUAAAUUGAUGUGAUCUAUAAGUAAAUUCGGUUUUCUUGUUUUACCAAAUAAACGGCUAAAAUCCAUUAAA
This is a long non-coding RNA of Eurytemora carolleeae, 273 nucleotides long. RefSeq lists it as uncharacterized. The transcript is spliced from 2 exons. Lineage: Eukaryota; Metazoa; Arthropoda; Copepoda; Calanoida; Temoridae. The record is from RefSeq and is a predicted model, not a curated record.